GACGAACGCUGGCGGCGUGCUUAAUACAUGCAAGUCAACUUGACUUUAGAUAGCAAUAUCGAAAAGUAGGGUGGCGCACGGGUGCGUAACGCGUAGGUAAUCUGCCCUGAGGUCUGACAUAACCCGUCGAAAGGCGGGCUAACAUCAGAUGAUAUAUAAUCACGACAUCGUGGAAAUAUCAAAUCUUCGGAGCCUUGGGAUGAGCCUGCGUCUGAUUAGGUAGUUGGCGGAGUAAUAGCCCACCAAGCCUACGAUCAGUAGCUGGUCUGAGAGGAUGAUCAGCCACACUGGAACUGAGACACGGUCCAGACUCCUACGGGAGGCAGCAGUAAGGAAUAUUGUCUCAAUAGGGGAAACCGUACGAAGACGAGCAACGACCGCCGUCGGAAGGAAGUA
This 396-nucleotide ribosomal RNA is filed under the name uncultured bacterium. RNAcentral's name for it is "bacterial SSU rRNA". It matches the Rfam family "Bacterial small subunit ribosomal RNA", at positions 28 to 415 of the family's 1533-position model. The record is from RNAcentral.